GGCGUUAUGGUUCAAAUGGUAGAGCGCUUGCCUUGCAUGCAUGAGGCCCUGGGUUCGAUUCCUCAGCACCA
RNAcentral lists this transfer RNA (71 nucleotides) under Dipodomys ordii (Ord's kangaroo rat). It matches the Rfam family "tRNA". Rfam says of the family: Transfer RNA (tRNA) molecules are approximately 80 nucleotides in length. Their secondary structure includes four short double-helical elements and three loops (D, anti-codon, and T loops). The record is from Rfam by way of RNAcentral. Lineage: Eukaryota; Metazoa; Chordata; Mammalia; Rodentia; Heteromyidae.